This is an RNA transcript of Dioscorea cayenensis subsp. rotundata (Guinea yam), 2329 nucleotides long. It is a transcript of the gene named vacuolar cation/proton exchanger 3-like, with no coding region annotated. The record is from RefSeq and is a predicted model, not a curated record. Lineage: Eukaryota; Viridiplantae; Streptophyta; Magnoliopsida; Dioscoreales; Dioscoreaceae. The transcript is spliced from 13 exons.
CUAGGCGAAUCUGGACUCAAUUUAUGCAUGAGUCCGUGGGCCUCAGACUGGGAAAUGCGCAGAAGUCUUGCUCCAUGGCAGUUUUUAACCGGUUACUUUCUCAUUCUCUGGUAUAUAUUCUCUACAUCAGUUGCCCAAAUGUCCAUGGAGAUUAGCGAGUCGCGGCCUUUUAGCCCUCUGCAUUGUGUUCAGAUGAGCGUAGCAAAUGAUAUAUCAGGACAUGAACUCGGUGAUGAAAGCCCUGUGUCCUUAGCUAGAAAGGGAGGACUUCCUCCUGCCAACAAAGCUCACUCCAGUUCUCUGUCUGAUUGUGAGCAAGGCUUCAGUAUUGAAUAUCUACAGGCCAGACUAGUCAAGAGCGUAAAGAUUGUAAUGUUAACAACCAAACUUAAUCUCCUGUUGCCUUGUGGCCCUGCUGCAAUUGUAGUCAAUUAUCUGACAGCCUACCAUGGAUGGGUAUUCUUGCUAAGCUUGCUGGGCAUCAUACCUCUAGCAGAGCGCUUGGGUUUUGCUACUGAGCAAUUAGCAUUCUUCACCGGACCUACAGCUGGGGGCCUUCUAAAUGCUACAUUUGGUAAUGCAACAGAAUUAAUAAUAUCAAUUUUUGCACUAAAAAGCGGAAUGCUGCGUGUUGUUCAGCAGUCACUUUUAGGGUCCAUAUUGUCAAACAUAUUGCUAGUUCUUGGAUGUGCAUUCUUCUGCGGAGGAAUAAGUUUUCAUAAAGAGCAAGUUUUUAACAAGUCAGCUGCUACAAUGAACUCUGGGUUGCUGCUGAUAGCAGUUAUGGGCCUCUUGUCUCCUGCUGUUCUCCACUACACCCAUACUGAAGCACAUUUCGGCGCUUCAGAGCUGGCCCUUUCAAGAUUUACUAGUUCUGUUAUGCUACUGGUUUAUGCCUUCUACAUUGUUUUCCAGUUGAAAAAUCAGAAAGUCACAAGUGAUCGUGCUGAUGAGGAAGAAAGUGCUGACAAUGAUGUUGCUGAGAUUUCUAAGUGGGAGGCUGUCGUUUGGCUUGCAGUUAUUGCUGGUUGGAUUUCAGUCCUUUCCGAGUAUCUAGUAAGAACUAUAGAGGGUGCUUCACUUGCAUUGAAAAUACCCAUUGCUUUUAUCAGUGUUGUUUUACUUCCAGUUGUUGGGAAUGCUGCUGAGCAUGCAAGUGCUAUAACAUUUGCCAUGAAAGACAAACUUGAUAUUUCUGUUGGAGUUGCAAUCGGGUCUUCUACUCAGAUUGCGAUGUUUGGGAUACCAUUCUCUGUGGUGCUUGGAUGGUUGAUGGGAAGACCGAUGGACCUAAAUUUUCAACUUUUUGAGACAGCCAUUCUCUUCAUUACAGUGUUAGUGCUGGCUUUCAUGCUUCAGGAUGGUUCUUCAAACUACUUUAAGGGGUUGAUGCUCGUCCUUUGCUAUCUGAUAGUAGCUGCCAGUUUUUAUGUCCAUGUCGAUCCCAAACCUAAUGGAGAUACAGUCCCUCUCCCCUCCCCUGAAGCCUAGGACAGAUGGACGGACUGACUGACUGACUAGGCAGGAAGGACAGCGAGCAUCCAUAUAUAUAUAUAUAUAUAUAUAUAUAUAGGUUUGUGUAGCAAAUAAAAGUUAUUGUUGCUAUUAUUAUUAUUAUUAUUAUAGCCAUGUCAUUGGCAUAUUACUUUGCUCAUUAGCUUGAGGAAAUUUUGCAAGAGUACCAUGUGAAGUGCUCCCCCGAGUUUCUGACCAUCAUCUGCAGAAAGUACUAAGUAGCAUGUGCUCGUGUCUAAUUGUCAUGUUCUCAAGGAAUCAGCUUCAGGGAUUUCUGUGAUCAACUAAAACGUGGGAUCUGUUUCCUUGCGUUUUAUUGGUUAUAAAUUAAAUAAAUAAACAAAGUGAAUACACUAGGAACACAUGCGACGGAGCAUAGCCAGGCCAUAAAUAAAAGAUCAAUCACAAGAAGCGGCCAAUAACUUGGGAAGAGCUGAAGAGUUUACCCUGAACCCCACCAAUCACCAUAUAUGUAUAUAUAUAUCUCUCUUGAAAAUUACCUUUAUUGUUUAAUUGUUUCUUCAAUUUUCGUGUCACAAAGUUCAUCGGGCCCGUUGACACCAAGUUGUUCUUCUUUGAAUAUCGUCCACGAAACUAAGCUAAGCUAACUUGAUCCAGUGACUCAGCGUUACGGGUGGCACCCAGGCUUUCCGCGUCAUGGUAAAGUUAUUGCUUUUCCCAAUGCUUUAGUACAAGCACACUUUGGGAGUAGCAUCAGCCAAGCGUCUACUCACCAUCAUACAUAGAUAUGUGUCAUAUAAGCACUACACAGGUCGAGUCUCCAUGUUAUUUCUUUUGAAUUGUAAAUUUCAUG